Long non-coding RNA from Oncorhynchus keta (chum salmon), 2033 nucleotides. RefSeq lists it as uncharacterized. The record is from RefSeq and is a predicted model, not a curated record. The transcript has 2 exons. NCBI's taxonomy places the organism in Eukaryota, Metazoa, Chordata, Actinopteri, Salmoniformes, Salmonidae.
GUUGUCGUUGCCAGCGUGACACUGUGCUCACUGGUCGCAGCAGCUUGUUACAAAUCAGUUUAUACUGCUAUCUAGAGCCAUAUGUGGGACUGAUGAAAACCGCUCUGGCUAUAAACACACUGGAUACUUGGUCUAACAAGAUGUUAGUUGUAAGUGGAAUGGAUGUUUGUGAACCCUGAAUAACAACUCUACUGUGCCACACCAUCUGGCUGAUCCCUCAAGCGCUUUGUCCUCCGUGGAGUGUACUCCUCUCCUCUCUUCACCUGACUGACCGGCAAAAGUAGAAAAUGAAAGAAAUAAUCAUUGAAAAGGAAUGCAGUGCUCUAGAGCUUAUGGAAUCAAUAGGGGCCUAAACCUCAAGUAAACCUCUUGAAAACUUCAAAAAAACACAGCAUAGAUACUGCAUAAAACUAUAAAGACUGACAUUUGGAAUGGAUUGGUAAAAAGAGAACAGGCUUAUUUCAAAGUCUGGAGGCACACCUGAAUAAUUUUGCGGUUCUGUAAUCUUCAAGUAUUAUUUUCAAGUUCAAUGCUGCAUGUUAUACAACACUGGUUUAAAGGCAUCUCAGCGUCAUUCCUCCAUCAAGCUAACCAUUCACUCAAACAUCCACACAUUUCUCUACACAUCUAUCAUGCUUCAAUUCAACCAUCUAUCCAUCUAUCAUCCUAUCAUCCAUUCAUGGCCUUUUCCUUUGGUAUGUGCACAUAUCAGAUGAAUGUGUAUUUGUUCUGGGGCCAGGGGCAACACCAGACUAAUGACUGCUACAGCAGGUGUCUUUGUGAAGCUAACGCAUUACAUCUGCAUGGUAUAACUAGCGACAGAUGAGGCUGAAACCACGGGACGUGGCAGGACUCAACAUGAGGCUGUUGUGGCAUUGUUUCAUAUUCAAAUCAUAUUCUUUCCCCUGUUUUUUUCUGCAGACUUGAAGGACCUUUUUUAAUUGAAUGGGUUCUACUCCCUUUGUUGUGGCGUUGGAGACAGGCAGAUUCCCAUGCACUGCUAGAACCAUCAUUUAUUACAGUCUCUCUCAAAGCCAGCCCACCGUCUGCAUUGAAACAACCAUGUCGAUAAGACACAUACUCACACACACACACACACACACACACACACACACACACACACACACACACACACACACUCAGCUCAAAGACCUGAUACACUACAUGACCAAAAGUACACUACGUGGCCAACAGUAUGUGGACGACUGCUCGUUGAACAUCUCAUUCUAAAAUCAUGGGCAUUCAUAUGGAGUUGGUCCCCCCUUUGCUGCAAUAACAGCCUCCACUCUUCUGGGAAGGCUUUCCACUAGAUGUUGGAACAUUGCUUCCAGUCAGCCACGAGAGUAUUAGUGAGGUCGGGCACUGAUGUUGUGCGAUUAUGCCUGGCUCGCUGUCAGAGUUCCAAUUCAUCCCAAAGGUGUUCGAUGGGGUUGAGAUCAGGGCUCUGUGCAGGCCAGUCAAGUUCUUCCACAUCGAUAUCGACAAACCAUUUCUGUAUGGACCUCGCUCUGUGCACAGAGGCAUUGCCGUGCUGAAAGAGAAAAGGGCCUUCCCAAAACUGUUGCCACAAAGUUGGAGGCACAGAAUCAUCUAGAAUGUCUUUGUAUGAUGUAGCAUUAAGAUUUCCCUUCACUGGAACUAAGGGGCCUAGACCGAACCAUGAAAAACAUCCCCAGACCAUUAUUCCUCCUUCCACCAAACUUUACAGUUGGUCCCGUUCUGUGAGCUUGUGUGGCCUACCAUUUUUCGGCUGAGUCAUUGUUGCUUCUAGACGUUUCCACUUCACAGCACUUACAGUUGACCGGGACAGCUCUCGCAGGGCAGAAAUUUCACGAACUGGAAAGGUGGCAUCCUAUGACGGUGCCACAUUGAAAGUCACUGAGCUCUUCAGUAAGGCCACUCUACUGCCAAAGUUUGUCUAUGGAGAUUGCAUGGAUGUGUGCUCGAUUUUAUACACCUGUCAUCAACGGGUGUGGCUGAAAUAGCCAAAUUCACUAAUUUGAAGGGGUGUCAACAAACUUUUGUAUAUAGUG